This 200-nucleotide ribosomal RNA is filed under the name uncultured bacterium. RNAcentral describes it as "partial 16S ribosomal RNA". It matches the Rfam family "Bacterial small subunit ribosomal RNA", at positions 524 to 722 of the family's 1533-position model. The record is from RNAcentral.
UACGUAGGUGGCAAGCGUUGUCCGGAUUUAUUGGGUUUAAAGGGUGCGUAGGCGGCCCUGUAAGUCAGUGCUGAAAUACCCCGGCUUAACCGGGGGGUGGCAUUGAUACUGCAGGGCUUGAGUACAGAUGAGGUAGGCGGAAUUGACGGUGUAGCGGUGAAAAUGCGUAGAUAUCGUAAGGAAGACCAGUGGCGAAAGGC